This 773-nucleotide small RNA is filed under the name Histoplasma ohiense. Its description in RNAcentral is "hypothetical lncRNA". The record is from RNAcentral. Lineage: Eukaryota; Fungi; Ascomycota; Eurotiomycetes; Onygenales; Ajellomycetaceae.
CGGGAGGUGGGUGAUGACGAUGAUGGCGAUGAUGAUUGGGAUUGAGAAGGAUGCUAGUUGUUUAUGGAUUAUUUGCGGGAAUUUGGAGAUAUACUCAUGUGGAUGUGAGCAUUAUUCAAUGCUUUCGGUCGGCGUUACUAGUCAUUCAUAAGCCUUCCCUACGGCCAUUCCGAAAGACAUAUAUCAAGGAUAUUCGAAUGGAUGCCAUUGGGUAACCCGAUCUGUUGUAGUCGGCCGUGGCAUUUUUUGUUUUCUUUUCUUAAAUAAAUUGCCUGCUAUUUCGGAUCUGCUAUUUCCCAGCCUGCCAGGCUAGCUGUUGACCUGGUGGGAAGUUGACGAUGCACCCCUUUGACUGGGAACCCCUCCUUCGCGCAAUCGCACGACUUGCAGCCACUAACUAGCCUUGUCAUAUUUUGGAAGACGAGAGGGAGUCUGAGUUUUGAGCGGGCCGGAAGACGCCUAUCACGAGGCCAAUAAGGAAAGGAGAGGAAACGAGAGAAUGCAGACGAAACCAAGGAAGCGAGGCAGCCAUUAAUUAUUACUAUUCUGACUUCCACGUAAACCGAUUCUACGAUAACCAUGAUAGUAUGUAUAGUACAUGCCUCCGAACGCAUUGAAUGAAUAAUAUAUGCAUAUACCUGUCUCAGAAUAUGGACAAAAAGUAGGAGAAUAGAAGUAGCAGAAAUGAAAAUAGCACUUGUUAAAUAUUCCUAGUACUCAUAGAGUAUAUAUAUAUAAAUAUAUAUACCAGGAGGGACCAUCCGUCAGCAAAG